Long non-coding RNA from Cyprinus carpio carpio, 4061 nucleotides. The record is from Ensembl. NCBI's taxonomy places the organism in Eukaryota, Metazoa, Chordata, Actinopteri, Cypriniformes, Cyprinidae.
CUAAGGGAUGCUAUGUGGAUAAUUAUGUCUUAAAUAUACUAUAUAUACAAUAAUACAUUUGUGAUUGUAAUUUUCUAUUGACUUGAUUUGUAUUUAAAGCAGUAAAAAGUGGUUGUACUGUAUUUCAUUUCUUUAGAUAGAUUCUGAGCAUUAAGCAUUUACAGUCUUUGUAAUCAUUCUAAGCAGCCAUCUUUCUUCAUAACUUUUUUAAUAGAAAUCUUUUCGACACCUCUAGAAAUCUCAACUGUGGCGUUUGGCAUCUUGUUCCUACCCCACUUACGAUGUGUUUUUACACGUAUUACCUGUGCUGUGCAUCAGGAGUGGAGCGGUACAUAUAUUCGUAUUGAACCAAUUUGGUACAAGGGUCACGGUUUUGGUGCACGCAUUUACACAGAAAAUACACUGCAAAGCGGAACUAUUGUUAGAUACGCAUGUUCUUUGGGGACACAUAAUAUGUGACGCGCGUCCUAUUCGCUUUGGACUAAUGUCAAACUAGACGCAAAUUUUAAGCAUUUCUUUGUUUGCGUUGAUUACAAUGCUGGAGUGUGUGUGUGCUCGCACGCGCGGUAGAGAGAGAAAGAUAUAGUGUGUUCACUGUAGCACAAGAGAGAUCGAGACAGAGAAGCAAUUUGUCCUCGAGUGUCACAAAUACAAAAUUCCCACCUUAGUGCAGUGUGUCAAGGAACUAAUAUCCUCAAUGAACACAGGGAUCGAUACAGCAAGCACAAGCUCAGGGUCCUCCAGCUCAGCCCAAGAGAUGAUUUCUCUGGGCAACAUGGCUGUCCAAGUCAACAAAACCUGCUUUAGGAGAUUGAAUAGGAGCAGAAUGUCCCUGUUCACUCAAGAGUUGGCUGUUUUGUUGUUUGGGAGGGAGGUUCUGGGUUCAUCUAGCCUCACUGGGAAUAGGUCCCAAAAAGAAAGGCUGAACCCAGAAAAAAUGAAUGCACUUAUCGGUUUGUAUAAGAUUUAUAUUUUUUAUAUUUCAUUAUAGUCCUUUCUCAGCUGAAAUUUUAAAUAGUAGUGUAAAAUAUGUUAUAAAAAAUAAUUGACUUAAAGGGUAGCAUGUAUCAUACUAUAUGUGCAUGCGCAAACUUCAGAGAUUGUGAACCUUAUUUUAUCACAGCAAGAAAACAAUACAAACAGCAUAUCACAAUAAAGAUAAUUUAAUUUAACCAAAUCUUAAAGUUAAGUAACGUUUCAAAUUAUUAAAUGAAAGGUUUGGGCAAAACGGUACAGUAAACAAUUGCUUCUAUUUCAUGCACUUACAUUAGGAUUCAGUCCUCAAUAAUUAUACAUCAAAUUAAAGUAGUUUAAAUAACAUAAUAGGCCAUAGAGGAUUCUUCAAAAAUAACCACUGAUUAUCUUAAGAACGAGUUGUAUCCAGCAUGAUUGAGUAAUUUAACUGCAUACUGUAGAUAAAAGCAUAUGUUAAUCACAAAAAAACUUAUUUAAAGAAUAAUUAAAAUAAAUCUAAAUCAUCUUGAUUAUUUCUCUGGGAGUAUAUAUAUUGAUAUUUAUUGCUAAGUGCAGCUAGUUUAGCAAACUUCACAAAACUGCCGACAGUAAUGCAGCCAUCCUUUACUACAAAACAGAUAUGAUCACACAGACUGUGAAAAAGGUCUCUUUUUGCCUAGAAAAUCAUUGUGUGUCUAUAUUCUAGCAAGCUUUAUAUCCUAUAAGCAUAAGGUGGAUAUUAUGAAUAAUUUUGUGGCUAUUCAUAAAGCACUAAUGUACUAAUGUUUUUUUUUUUUCUUUUUUCGGCAGACACUGUCAUAUCUGAGUUUCCGGGCACGUCACAGUCCGAGGUUAGAGCAGUAAUACGCGAAAGUGCAAUAACGAAAGUUUUUGUUUCACACUGUAAAGGUAAUUUUUUGUUGUUGUUGGGAAAGGAAUGUGAAAGUAAAGAAGAAAUUUGUGUUUUGUUCAUAUAAGAUACGUACAGUAAUCUGUAGUUUAAUCAUUUUAUUAAAGGGUUAGUUCACCCAAAAAUCGAAAAGUUCUUUGUAUUUAGUCACCCGCGUGUUGUUCUAAACCCUUAAGAUUCCAUUAACCAUCGCAUCACAAAAUAUUAUAUUUAUGAUGGAAUCUGAGCGCUGGAUAAGUCUUCCAUUGACUUCCAAGGGGCUUAAACUUGCUCGAUCAGAAAUCGUAUUAAGACAUUGUUUGAAAUUGUCUAAGUGACUCCAGUGGCUCAACCAUCCAUUUAUCAAGCGACGAGAAUAGUUUUUUUGUGCCAAAAACAAACAAAAAUAACGAAUUUAUUCCAAUAUCCAUUUACUCGUGUUGUGCUUGAAAGUUGUUUACGUAGUGUAUCUGCGCGAGCUUCUGGGUUCUACGUCACCAGGCAUCACACACAUGACCUGCGUUGGCCAAUAGUGAGCCUGUAUGGUGACGUAGAACCCAGAAGCGCUGCGCAGAUAGACUACGUAAACAACUUUGAAGCACAACACUAGUAAAUGGAUAUUGGAAUAAAUUCAUUAUUUUUGUUUGUUUUUGGCGCAGAAAAAGUAUUCUCGAUGGUUGAGCCACUGAAGUCACUUGGACUAUUUUAAACAAUGUCUAUAUGUUUUCUGAUCGAGCAAGUUUAAGCCCCUUGGAAGUCAAUGGAAGACUUAUCCAGCGCUCAGAUUACAUCAUAAAUAUAAUAUUUUGUUAUGCAAUUAUAAAUGGAAGCCAUACGGGGUUAGAACAACACGCAGGUGAGUAAAAACUGAGAUCAUUUUGAUUUUUGGGUGAACUCCUUUAAUGCUUUUAGUUUAAGCUUGCCACUUGUGUUAUUUUGUUUCCCAACAGUCUGUUUGGACUUUAAUAAUGUUUAAAAAAAAUAAAGUGUUUUUUAAGAAAGAGAUGCUUUUUGUUUGUACACAUACCAUUCCUCCUGUAUCCUUUUAAGCUAUAGGUGUUUUCAUUUACAUGAAUUACAUUUACCGGUUAUUUUUAUCAAAUGCAUUACAUCUAACUUUAAAAUGAUUAUUGUAUUAAACGCCUUCAUCAAUGGUGGACAAUUUUAACAUUUACAUUUUAACAGUAUAACUUCAGCAUAAAUGAGGCAGAAAAUGCUACUGAUAACACAGUAAUAGUGUACUUGACUAAAAAAAAAACCCAUUAACAUUUAAAUGUUUUAUAAAAGUACUUUUGACAUAGUUAAAAUACAUUUUUACAAUAAAUUAGUUUCCAUAAAUAUGAUUGUAUAUUCUUAUAUUUUAAAGAAUUUAAAGGUGUAUUUAAAAAUGUUUUAAAGAUGGGUUCUAUUGCUCUAAGGGGGAAAAAAAAUAAAGCUGAAAUAAUAUUUUAAAAUCAUGUUUUAAGUUCAUCUUAAGUUUGUAUAAAAAUAGCACAGUUGAUAUAUUCUUAUAUUUUAAAUAAUUUAUAAGUGUAUUUAAAAAUGUAUUAAAGAUUUAAUCUAAAGAUAAAAUUAAAGCUGAAAUAGUAUGUUAAAAGCAUAUUUAAGUUCAUCUUCAGUGUGUCUCAAAAUAGCACAUUGAGUACACUAAGAUGAUCUUAAGUUUAUAUUAAGAAGUACUAAAGUAGCACAGUUGAGUAUAAAGUGCGUGAAAAUAGAGCACUUUAAAUACAUUAUGGAAGUGUAUUAAGUGCACUUAAAUAAAAUGUAUUUUAGUGUACUUUUUUAAUCUAGGAAUACAUUAUAAAUAUAAUUUGUAUAUAAUUACAUAUUAUUAUUAUUAUCAUUUAAAUAGUUUAUUAUUGUAUUUAAAGAUGGUUUCAAUUAUACUAAAACUGGUAACGAAAUACAUUUGUUGAAAAUAUGAAAUAGUAUAUUAAAAAUACACUUUAGUUUAUCUUCAGUGUGUCUCAAAAAAGCACAAUUGAGUACACUAAGAUGAUCUUAAGUUUAUAUUAAGCAGUACUAAAGGUAAGCUUUUAGUAUAUUAAGUGCAAAAUAAGUGUGUCGAAAAUAGAGCACUUUAAGUACAUUAUGGAAGUGUAUUAUGGAAGUGUAAUAAAAUGUAUUUUUAGUGCACUUUUUUUAAUCUAGGAAUACAUUCUAAGUAUAAUUUGUAUAUAAUUUAAUAUUAUUAUUAUUAUAAUUUAAAUAGUUU